AGCCGAAACAGUGGAUUUAUAAUCCGCUGUCCGUCGGGAGUGGUCCCCCGUCGCUGAUGAGGCAGACCAAA
This 71-nucleotide non-coding RNA is filed under the name Ruminococcus sp. The record is from RNAcentral. Lineage: Bacteria; Bacillati; Bacillota; Clostridia; Eubacteriales; Oscillospiraceae.